GACAGAGGGUGCAAACGUUGCUCGGAAUUACUGGGCGUAAAGCGCGUGUAGGCGGUUUCGCAAGUCAGGUGUGAAAGCCCGGGGCUCAACCCCGGAAGUGCACUUGAUACUACGGAGCUUGAGUACUGAAGAGGAGAGCGGAAUUCCCGGUGUAGAGGUGAAAUUCGUAGAUAUCGGGAGGAACACCAGUGGCGAAGGCGGCUCUCUGGGCAGAUACUGACGCUGCGACGCGAAAGCAUGGGGAGCAAACAGG
RNAcentral lists this ribosomal RNA (253 nucleotides) under uncultured prokaryote. Its description in RNAcentral is "partial 16S ribosomal RNA". It matches the Rfam family "Bacterial small subunit ribosomal RNA", at positions 524 to 776 of the family's 1533-position model. The record is from RNAcentral.